GGGAUCGCGUUGUUGGAACCUGGGGUCAAGAACUGUGGGUCAGCAACUUUCGUAUGCGACGAGAAACUUUUGAAAUGUUGUGUGUGCGGUUGUCACCAAUGCUCUCUUACAAGGAUACAACAUUUCGCCAGGCAAUCUCAGUGCAGAAGCGCGUUGGAGUUGGACUAUGGUGGCUCGUGACAGAAGCUGGUUAUCGAACACUGGCACACCUGUUUGGCAUAAGUGACGCAUCAGUAUGCCUAAUAGUCCGGGAGUUUUGCCAUGCCAUACGAAAUGAGAUGAUGUGUGAGUACAUCAAGCUGCCAGAAGGUGAGAACAAACCGUACUUCUAGGAUUUAAAAAUCGCUGGGGUUUCCCUCAGUGUGCCGGGGCUAUAGACGGGAGUCAUAUCCCAGUCAUCGCUCCACCUGAGAACCAUGCGGAUUAUUUUAAUCGCAAGGGAUGGCAUUCUGUGAUCUUGCAAGCAGUUGUGGACCACAAAUACUGUUUCACAAACAUCAACAUCGGAUGGCCAGGAAGUGUUCACGACUCCAGGGUUCUUCGUAAUUCUGUUAUCUACGAGAAGGCAGAAAGAGGAGUCCUCUUUCCAAACACCACUGAGGAGAUCCAGGGCACACGAGUGCCUAUCAUGCUGUUGGGGGAUCCAGCCUACCCACUUCGGUCCUGGCUAAUGAAGGGGUACCCGGAAACUGGGAAUCUGACUGAACACCAGCGUCAUUUUAACAAGAGACUAAGCGGGGCUAGAAUGACGGUGGAGUGUGCGUUCGGAAGAUUAAAAGGUCGGUGGAGGUGCCUGUCAAAACGUCUUGAUGUGGACAUAUCACUGGUCCCCACAGUUAUCUCCACAUGCUGCACUCUGCAUAACAUCUGUGAAAAACACAAUGAGGCCUACAGUGAAGAUCCUAGUGCAGCUGGACCUCCUGAUGUACCACCAGGUGAUGUUGACCCGUUGGGCAUUGCAGACAUCCAGCCACUAAGAAUCAGGGAGGCACUGACCCAAUAUUUUGCUCAAGAAUAAAUGUAAACAAUGUAAUAAAAGAUAAGACAACAUUC
Long non-coding RNA from Cyprinus carpio (common carp), 1053 nucleotides. RefSeq lists it as uncharacterized. The record is from RefSeq and is a predicted model, not a curated record. NCBI's taxonomy places the organism in Eukaryota, Metazoa, Chordata, Actinopteri, Cypriniformes, Cyprinidae. The transcript is spliced from 3 exons.